Molecule: ribosomal RNA, 97 nt
Filed under: Citrobacter koseri
Lineage: Bacteria; Pseudomonadati; Pseudomonadota; Gammaproteobacteria; Enterobacterales; Enterobacteriaceae
Also listed under: 121 other names
Source: RNAcentral
UGGUCCCACCUGACCCCAUGCCGAACUCAGAAGUGAAACGCCGUAGCGCCGAUGGUAGUGUGGGGUCUCCCCAUGCGAGAGUAGGGAACUGCCAGGC